GCAGUGGUGGUUCACUGGUAGGAUUCUCACCCUCCAUGUGGGAGACCCAGGUUCAAUUCCUGGCCAAUGCA
Molecule: transfer RNA, 71 nt
Filed under: Loxodonta africana (African savanna elephant)
Lineage: Eukaryota; Metazoa; Chordata; Mammalia; Proboscidea; Elephantidae
Rfam family: tRNA
About the family: Transfer RNA (tRNA) molecules are approximately 80 nucleotides in length. Their secondary structure includes four short double-helical elements and three loops (D, anti-codon, and T loops).
Source: Rfam by way of RNAcentral